Molecule: long non-coding RNA, 2042 nt
Organism: Rosa rugosa (rugosa rose)
Lineage: Eukaryota; Viridiplantae; Streptophyta; Magnoliopsida; Rosales; Rosaceae
Exons: 7
Source: RefSeq, a predicted model, not a curated record
UCAUUCGAGCCCGAAGUAAAUGACGCUUUUGCCCUUGGUGCUUACGUGAAUUACAGUCGGCCAUCGUUUGUUUUUCUUCUUAUGCGUUGGUCUUUCUAUAUUUUCAGAAUUUUUGAGUAGAAGAGACUGGAAACGCCGAGAAUAUCUAUCAGAUUCUAGAUCUAUCUAAUCACUGUUCUGGCAAUUUACCUUUGUACUAUUCAUAAUCUGAGCAUAUAAGCCAUCAGAUUGACUCACGAGUGGCUUCGGGAACUCUCCAUUUACGUCGACUCCAGCUCCUCCACUGUUUGCGAUCUUCGAUCAACGUCAACCUCCAUAAAAACUGAGUGUUCAGAAUUGUCAUGCAUCAAUUCAUCAACCACAGUUUGAAAUUGGAUUAAGGCUUGCAGAACCUUACACUUUCAUCAAUUAUUGUUGAGCUUCAACCAGGAACUAUGGCUGGUUGCUUCUUAUGAAUUAGCAAGCCUAAAGCGUUUUUAGUGGAGAAAUAAGUGAAUGGUGCGCUUCAACAAAUCAGCUUGGACAUCUAUCGAUAGCUUCUACAAUGACUAUAAAAUGAUGCACCUACAAGAUCUACAGAGAUUGGAAGGAGUUCUAUAUGUUUCAAGAGUACAUCAACACCAUUAAUGAUCUGUAAUAGUUUUGUAUCAAUGUUCGCGCCUUAGGAGAUUAUAGUUACAGUUGCCACUGAUUUUGGAGUGAAACCUACUCUUGCUCUUUGGGUUCAUAGAAUCCAGAAAGAAAGCGUGGGCUAUGUAGCCUCAUUUAGCGUUUAACUACCAAAAGAUAACAAUUGUUUAUAUACUCUAAUCAACUGAAAACACAUAUCGAUAAUAAAAAUACCCGCAGCAAAGCGCGGGCUAUCUAUCUAGUACUAUUGAAUUAAUGACCAAUGCUACCAGUUGGUCACUAACACUUUUAGGACCAACUAAAUUCAUUUACCCGCCCAUUAUUCAAACUUUAAUGACCAAAAGUUUUAAUAGUAGUGACCAUUCAUGUUGGGUCACUGAUAUUUUUGAACUUCAUAAUGCGUGGUUUCCUUUUAGUGACCAAAACUUUUCAGUUGGAGGGAUUUUUUCUCUUAAACCUUGGAGUAGGCGGGCAUUUAAAAAAUCAAACUCUUUUCCAAGCGCGGCAUGCUAAAGGGUCUAUUUUUAAGUGAAGACCCAAAAAAAAUUAAAAUCCCUAGUUCACAUUUCUCAGACGUCAGACCCAGAUCUUCAUCGUCCUUCUCGGCUUCUCCCUCACUCCUCUCUUCUGUUCCCGAGUCAUGGUGGGUCGAGCCCUGAAUUCCGACCACCUUGGACAGCCUAUAGGAGUCGGUGACCGUGUCACUCGACCUCAAUUUACUGGACAGAGAUCCCUGAUUUCUCAGCUUCGAGCUGAGCAAAUUACGAUUCGGUUUCAAUAUCCUGGAUUAUAGGUUUGUUUUUGGUGAGCAAGCUUGGAGAUUUGAUUUUGUGGUUGGAUUUGAGAAUUGGGAAUUUUUUGAGAAUUUGAAUUUUUUGCUGCUUCAUCGAUUUUUGUUGCAAGACCAUAUAGAGGAAGCUGAGAAAUCAAUUGUUAUGCGAAGCUGAGGGCUUUUCUUCUUGGUGCAGGAGUUUAUUGUACCAGCAAGAAAACUGUACCAAAUAUUUGCUCAAAGGGUAAAUGCGAAGGACCUGGUAAACAAAAAAUAAAGCUUGAUCCUGACCCCAAGAAGCGGCUGACAGCUCAAGAAUUACUUGCUAAUUAGAAUCAUCCUUGGAUACAAACUGCCAAGAAGACCCCAGAUGUUCCACUUGGUGAGACUGUGAGACAAAAGGCUAAAACAAUUUUCUGUAAUGAACAAACUGAAAAAGAAAAAGAAAAAGAAGAAGAGCUCUUGGGGUCAUAGCCUAGCAUUUCUCAGUUGAGGAAGUAGCGGGCAUAAGGGAGGCAUUUCAACUGAUAGAUACUGGCAAGAAAGGCAAGGCAUUUCAAUUGAUGGAUACUGAUAAGAAAGACAAGAGAUAGUGGCAAUGAAGGCUAGAGCCGCUCAACAAAAUGAAGAGUUAGAGGCA